This 227-nucleotide ribosomal RNA is filed under the name Salmonella enterica subsp. enterica serovar Senftenberg. RNAcentral's name for it is "partial 23S ribosomal RNA". It matches the Rfam family "Bacterial large subunit ribosomal RNA", at positions 2704 to 2925 of the family's 2925-position model. RNAcentral also lists the same sequence under 5 other names. The record is from RNAcentral. Lineage: Bacteria; Pseudomonadati; Pseudomonadota; Gammaproteobacteria; Enterobacterales; Enterobacteriaceae.
CAUCACUGGUGUUCGGGUUGUCAUGCCAAUGGCACUGCCCGGUAGCUAAAUGCGGAAGAGAUAAGUGCUGAAAGCAUCUAAGCACGAAACUUGCCCCGAGAUGAGUUCUCCCUGAGACUUAGAGUCUCCUGAAGGAACGUUGAAGACGACGACGUUGAUAGGCCGGGUGUGUAAGCGCAGCGAUGCGUUGAGCUAACCGGUACUAAUGAACCGUGAGGCUUAACCUU